Molecule: ribosomal RNA, 497 nt
Filed under: uncultured bacterium
Lineage: Bacteria
Description: partial 16S ribosomal RNA
Rfam family: Bacterial small subunit ribosomal RNA
Source: RNAcentral
GAUGAACGCUGGCGGCGUGCCUAAUACAUGCAAGUCGAGCGAACAGACGAGGAGCUUGCUCCUCUGACGUUAGCGGCGGACGGGUGAGAAACACGUGGAAAACCUACCUAUAAGACUGGGAAAACUUCGGGAAAGCGGAGCUAAUACCGGAUAAUAUAUUGAACCGCAUGGUUCAAUAGUGAAAGACGGUGGUGCGGGAACUUAUAGAUGGAUCCGCGCCGCAUUAGCUAGUUGGGAAGGUAACGGCUUAUCAAGGCAACGAUGCGUAGCCGACCUGAGAGGCUGAUCGGCCACACUGGAACUGAGACACGGUCCAGGCUCCUACGGGAGGCAGCAGUAUGGAAUCUUCCGCAAUGGUCGAAAGCCUUGCGGAGCAACGCCGCGUGAGUGAUGACGGUCUUCGGUUCGUAAAACUCUGUUAUUAGGUAAGAACAAAUGUGUAAGUAACUAUGCACGUCUUGACGGUACCUAAUCAGAAAGCCACGGCUAACUACGUG